AGACCUGUCUCCGUUCGGAUUGGAGUCUGCAACUCGACUCCAUGAAGCUGGAUUCGCUAGUAAUCGCGCAUCAGCCAUGGCGCGGUGAAUACGUUCCCGGGCCUUGUACACACCGCCCGUCAAGCCAUGGAAGCCGGGAGUGCCUGAAGUGUGCAACCGCAAGGAGCGCCCUAAGGUAAAACUGGUGACUGGGGCUAAGUCGUAACAAGGUAUC
Molecule: ribosomal RNA, 214 nt
Filed under: uncultured bacterium
Lineage: Bacteria
Description: partial 16S ribosomal RNA
Rfam family: Bacterial small subunit ribosomal RNA
Source: RNAcentral